RNAcentral lists this ribosomal RNA (592 nucleotides) under Escherichia coli. Its description in RNAcentral is "partial 23S ribosomal RNA". It matches the Rfam family "Bacterial large subunit ribosomal RNA", at positions 1 to 632 of the family's 2925-position model. The record is from RNAcentral. Lineage: Bacteria; Pseudomonadati; Pseudomonadota; Gammaproteobacteria; Enterobacterales; Enterobacteriaceae. RNAcentral also lists the same sequence under 1 other name.
GGUUAAGCGACUAAGCGUACACGGUGGAUGCCCUGGCAGUCAGAGGCGAUGAAGGACGUGCUAAUCUGCGAUAAGCGUCGGUAAGGUGAUAUGAACCGUUAUAACCGGCGAUUUCCGAAUGGGGAAACCCAGUGUGAUUCGUCACACUAUCAUUAACUGAAUCCAUAGGUUAAUGAGGCGAACCGGGGGAACUGAAACAUCUAAGUACCCCGAGGAAAAGAAAUCAACCGAGAUUCCCCCAGUAGCGGCGAGCGAACGGGGAGCAGCCCAGAGCCUGAAUCAGUGUGUGUGUUAGUGGAAGCGUCUGGAAAGGCGUGCGAUACAGGGUGACAGCCCCGUACACAAAAAUGCACAUACUGUGAGCUCGAUGAGUAGGGCGGGACACGUGGUAUCCUGUCUGAAUAUGGGGGGACCAUCCUCCAAGGCUAAAUACUCCUGACUGACCGAUAGUGAACCAGUACCGUGAGGGAAAGGCGAAAAGAACCCCGGCGAGGGGAGUGAAAAAGAACCUGAAACCGUGUACGUACAAGCAGUGGGAGCACGCUUAGGCGUGUGACUGCGUACCUUUUGUAUAAUGGGUCAGCGACUUAUA